GGGUUGUGAGGUUAAGCGACUAAGCGUACACGGUGGAUGCCCUGGCAGUCAGAGGCGAUGAAGGACGUGCUAAUCUGCGAUAAGCGUCGGUAAGGUGAUAUGAACCGUUAUAACCGGCGAUUUCCGAAUGGGGAAACCCAGUGUGAUUCGUCACACUAUCAUUAACUGAAUCCAUAGGUUAAUGAGGCGAACCGGGGGAACUGAAACAUCUAAGUACCCCGAGGAAAAGAAAUCAACCGAGAUUCCCCCAGUAGCGGCGAGCGAACGGGGAGCAGCCCAGAGCCUGAAUCAGUGUGUGUGUUAGUGGAAGCGUCUGGAAAGGCGCGCGAUACAGGGUGACAGCCCCGUACACAAAAAUGCACAUACUGUGAGCUCGAUGAGUAGGGCGGGACACGUGGUAUCCUGUCUGAAUAUGGGGGGACCAUCCUCCAAGGCUAAAUACUCCUGACUGACCGAUAGUGAACCAGUACCGUGAGGGAAAGGCGAAAAGAACCCCGGCGAGGGGAGUGAAAAAGAACCUGAAACCGUGUACGUACAAGCAGUGGGAGCACAGAGCAAUCUGUGUGACUGCGUACCUUUUGUAUAAUGGGUCAGCGACUUAUAUUCUGUAGCAAGGUUAACCGAAUAGGGGAGCCGAAGGGAAACCGAGUCUUAACUGGGCGUUAAGUUGCAGGAUAUAGACCCGAAACCCGGUGAUCUAGCCAUGGGCAGGUUGAAGGUUGGGUAACACUAACUGGAGGACCGAACCGACUAAUGUUGAAAAAUUAGCGGAUGACUUGUGGCUGGGGGUGAAAGGCCAAUCAAACCGGGAGAUAGCUGGUUCUCCCCGAAAGCUAUUUAGGUAGCGCCUCGUGAAUUCAUCUCCGGGGGUAGAGCACUGUUUCGGCAAGGGGGUCAUCCCGACUUACCAACCCGAUGCAAACUGCGAAUACCGGAGAAUGUUAUCACGGGAGACACACGGCGGGUGCUAACGUCCGUCGUGAAGAGGGAAACAACCCAGACCGCCAGCUAAGGUCCCAAAGUCAUGGUUAAGUGGGAAACGAUGUGGGAAGGCCCAGACAGCCAGGAUGUUGGCUUAGAAGCAGCCAUCAUUUAAAGAAAGCGUAAUAGCUCACUGGUCGAGUCGGCCUGCGCGGAAGAUGUAACGGGGCUAAACCAUGCACCGAAGCUGCGGCAGCGACGCUUAUGCGUUGUUGGGUAGGGGAGCGUUCUGUAAGCCUGUGAAGGUGUACUGUGAGGUAUGCUGGAGGUAUCAGAAGUGCGAAUGCUGACAUAAGUAACGAUAAAGCGGGUGAAAAGCCCGCUCGCCGGAAGACCAAGGGUUCCUGUCCAACGUUAAUCGGGGCAGGGUGAGUCGACCCCUAAGGCGAGGCCGAAAGGCGUAGUCGAUGGGAAACAGGUUAAUAUUCCUGUACUUGGUGUUACUGCGAAGGGGGGACGGAGAAGGCUAUGUUGGCCGGGCGACGGUUGUCCCGGUUUAAGCGUGUAGGCUGGUUUUCCAGGCAAAUCCGGAAAAUCAAGGCUGAGGCGUGAUGACGAGGCACUACGGUGCUGAAGCAACAAAUGCCCUGCUUCCAGGAAAAGCCUCUAAGCAUCAGGUAACAUCAAAUCGUACCCCAAACCGACACAGGUGGUCAGGUAGAGAAUACCAAGGCGCUUGAGAGAACUCGGGUGAAGGAACUAGGCAAAAUGGUGCCGUAACUUCGGGAGAAGGCACGCUGAUAUGUAGGUGAAGUCCCUCGCGGAUGGAGCUGAAAUCAGUCGAAGAUACCAGCUGGCUGCAACUGUUUAUUAAAAACACAGCACUGUGCAAACACGAAAGUGGACGUAUACGGUGUGACGCCUGCCCGGUGCCGGAAGGUUAAUUGAUGGGGUUAGCGCAAGCGAAGCUCUUGAUCGAAGCCCCGGUAAACGGCGGCCGUAACUAUAACGGUCCUAAGGUAGCGAAAUUCCUUGUCGGGUAAGUUCCGACCUGCACGAAUGGCGUAAUGAUGGCCAGGCUGUCUCCACCCGAGACUCAGUGAAAUUGAACUCGCUGUGAAGAUGCAGUGUACCCGCGGCAAGACGGAAAGACCCCGUGAACCUUUACUAUAGCUUGACACUGAACAUUGAGCCUUGAUGUGUAGGAUAGGUGGGAGGCUUUGAAGUGUGGACGCCAGUCUGCAUGGAGCCGACCUUGAAAUACCACCCUUUAAUGUUUGAUGUUCUAACGUUGACCCGUGAUCCGGGUUGCGGACAGUGUCUGGUGGGUAGUUUGACUGGGGCGGUCUCCUCCUAAAGAGUAACGGAGGAGCACGAAGGUUGGCUAAUCCUGGUCGGACAUCAGGAGGUUAGUGCAAUGGCAUAAGCCAGCUUGACUGCGAGCGUGACGGCGCGAGCAGGUGCGAAAGCAGGUCAUAGUGAUCCGGUGGUUCUGAAUGGAAGGGCCAUCGCUCAACGGAUAAAAGGUACUCCGGGGAUAACAGGCUGAUACCGCCCAAGAGUUCAUAUCGACGGCGGUGUUUGGCACCUCGAUGUCGGCUCAUCACAUCCUGGGGCUGAAGUAGGUCCCAAGGGUAUGGCUGUUCGCCAUUUAAAGUGGUACGCGAGCUGGGUUUAGAACGUCGUGAGACAGUUCGGUCCCUAUCUGCCGUGGGCGCUGGAGAACUGAGGGGGGCUGCUCCUAGUACGAGAGGACCGGAGUGGACGCAUCACUGGUGUUCGGGUUGUCAUGCCAAUGGCACUGCCCGGUAGCUAAAUGCGGAAGAGAUAAGUGCUGAAAGCAUCUAAGCACGAAACUUGCCCCGAGAUGAGUUCUCCCUGACUCCUUGAGAGUCCUGAAGGAACGUUGAAGACGACGACGUUGAUAGGCCGGAUGUGUAAGCGCAGCGAUGCGUUGAGCUAACCGGUACUAAUGAACCGUGAGGCUUAACCUUACAACGCCGAAGGUGUUU
RNAcentral lists this ribosomal RNA (2933 nucleotides) under Escherichia coli. RNAcentral describes it as "bacterial LSU rRNA". It matches the Rfam family "Bacterial large subunit ribosomal RNA". The record is from RNAcentral. Lineage: Bacteria; Pseudomonadati; Pseudomonadota; Gammaproteobacteria; Enterobacterales; Enterobacteriaceae.